Sinocyclocheilus rhinocerous is the source of this 1041-nucleotide long non-coding RNA. RefSeq lists it as uncharacterized. The record is from RefSeq and is a predicted model, not a curated record. NCBI's taxonomy places the organism in Eukaryota, Metazoa, Chordata, Actinopteri, Cypriniformes, Cyprinidae. The transcript has 7 exons.
GUAAAAGCGCUUCCAGAACAAUGGCGGAGACUAAAAGUAGUCAAUCUUGUAGCAUACCUUUGUGUUUCAACUCAAAGAAGAAACAACCGUACUUAUCGUUUCAUAGCUUUCCCAAUGAUGAAAAUAUGAAAAAGCAUUGGAUUUGUGCUAUACGAAGAGAUGAGGGGGCGGCAUUUACAUUGAGGAAGGGCAGCACUUUUGUGUGUGCUAUGCACUUCACGGAGGAUGAAGUCCGCGUCCAUCCACAGUCCGGGCGUAAAUAUCUUACACCGCAGGCUGUGCCUUCCAGGUUUUCGUGGAACAACUGGUGAGACGUUAAAUCACGCCAGACACGGACGGCAAAAAGAGGUGUCUGUGGUGAGCAGGAGGAAGCAAAUGUUGAAAUGGAGAGUGUUGAUGCGGUGUUGCCGGUGCAGGAGCACGAUUACAACAGCCGCCCUCUUCCGGGUGCUCUUGAUGAGGCAUUGGAAAAAAUAAAGGAGCUGGAGGAACUGGUGUCAAGCCUUACCAUCUCUCGAGCUUUGCUGGAUAGAUGGUGUGUGUCUGAUGAAGACUUCAGGUAUUUCACGAGGUUCUCAAACAAAAACAUCCACCACCACCUCCUGCUCACCAGCCAGUAACAUCGGCCACCACCACCUCCUGCUCACCAUCACUUCACCAGCCAGUAACAUUUUUCUUUGCCUUGCCACUCAACAAAGAGCAGUGUAAAAAAAUUUAUUGCAAGAGUCUUCAGUCAACCUCAUUCCUUUGCUAGAAGCAGAGAAAAGCUUGUCCUAACCUAGCCUACUUUGUGACACUGUGGUCUAUCUUGUCCAUCUUUCAGAUUUUUAGCACAUUGACCUUGACUGUCAUUGACUCAUCUUUCCAGUUUGGGAAAAUGAAGUCACCCCUAGUAUUUGUCACCAGAUCACACCAAGAUAAGCCAGUGACCAUCAGCUGACCCUGGACUUGCCAGUGGGCACUUAACUUCUACCAGGCCAUAGGGAGGGUCUUCAUUUGGGUCUACCACCUUGCCAUCUGGACUAGCACCAAGGUGUGGAG